GAUUGAAUAGUCUAAAAAGGAUAUUAAAUUGCAAAUUUAAAGAUGAAAUUUUUCUUCAGUUU
This 62-nucleotide transfer RNA is filed under the name Trigonopterus triradiatus. RNAcentral's name for it is "tRNA-Cys". Lineage: Eukaryota; Metazoa; Arthropoda; Insecta; Coleoptera; Curculionidae. The record is from RNAcentral.